RNAcentral lists this ribosomal RNA (745 nucleotides) under uncultured bacterium. Its description in RNAcentral is "bacterial SSU rRNA". It matches the Rfam family "Bacterial small subunit ribosomal RNA", at positions 33 to 773 of the family's 1533-position model. The record is from RNAcentral.
ACGCUGGCGGCAGGCCUAACACAUGCAAGUCGAGCGGUAGAGAGAAGCUUGCUUCUCUUGAGAGCGGCGGACGGGUGAGUAAUGCCUAGGAAUCUGCCUGGUAGUGGGGGAUAACGUUCGGAAACGGACGCUAAUACCGCAUACGUCCUACGGGAGAAAGCAGGGGACCUUCGGGCCUUGCGCUAUCAGAUGAGCCUAGGUCGGAUUAGCUAGUUGGUGGGGUAAUGGCUCACCAAGGCGACGAUCCGUAACUGGUCUGAGAGGAUGAUCAGUCACACUGGAACUGAGACACGGUCUAGACUCCUACGGGAGGCAGCAGUGGGGAAUAUUGGACAAUGGGCGAAAGCCUGAUCCAGCCAUGCCGCGUGUGUGAAGAAGGUCUUCGGAUUGUAAAGCACUUUAAGUUGGGAGGAAGGGCAGUUGCCUAAUACGUAACUGUUUUGACGUUACCGACAGAAUAAGCACCGGCUAACUCUGUGCCAGCAGCCGCGGUAAUACAGAGGGUGCAAGCGUUAAUCGGAAUUACUGGGCGUAAAGCGCGCGUAGGUGGUUUGUUAAGUUGGAUGUGAAAUCCCCGGGCUCAACCUGGGAACUGCAUUCAAAACUGACUGACUAGAGUAUGGUAGAGGGUGGUGGAAUUUCCUGUGUAGCGGUGAAAUGCGUAGAUAUAGGAAGGAACACCAGUGGCGAAGGCGACCACCUGGACUGAUACUGACACUGAGGUGCGAAAGCGUGGGGAGCAAAC